UUGAAGUAGCUGAAAUAAGUAGGGUAGGCGAUAAAAAUGCAUAGAUAUUACUUAGAACACCAAUUGCGAAGGCAGGUUAAUAAGCAACAACUGACGCUGAUGGAAGAAAGCGUGGGGAGCGAACAGGAUUAGAUACCCUGGUAGUCCACGCCGUAAACGAUGCUAACUCGUUUUUGGGUUUUCGGAUUCAGAGACUAAGCGAAAGUGAUAAGUUAGCCACCUGGGGAGUAGCCGUUCGCAAGAAUGAAACUCAAAGGAAUUGACGGGGGCCCGCACAAGCGGUGGAUUAUGUGGUUUAAUUCGAUGAUACGCGAGGAACCUUACCAAGGCUUAAAUGGGAAAUGACCGGUUUAGAAAUAGACCUUUCGCAAGACAUUUUUCAAGGUGCUGCAUGGUUGUCGUCAGCUCGUGCCGUGAGGUGUUAGGUUAAGUCCUGCAACGAGCGCAACCCCUGUCACUAGUUGCCAUCAUUCAGUUGGGGACUCUAGUGAGACUGCCUACGCAAGUAGAGAGGAAGGUGGGGAUGACGUCAAAUCAUCACGGCCCUUACGCCUUGGGCCACACACGUAAUACAAUGGCCGGUACAGAGGGCAGCUACACAGCGAUGUGAUGCAAAUCUCGAAAGCCGGUCUCAGUUCGGAUUGGAGUCUGCAACUCGACUCUAUGAAGC
Molecule: ribosomal RNA, 670 nt
Filed under: Chryseobacterium sp.
Lineage: Bacteria; Pseudomonadati; Bacteroidota; Flavobacteriia; Flavobacteriales; Weeksellaceae
Description: bacterial SSU rRNA
Rfam family: Bacterial small subunit ribosomal RNA
Source: RNAcentral